This 465-nucleotide ribosomal RNA is filed under the name uncultured bacterium. RNAcentral describes it as "partial 16S ribosomal RNA". It matches the Rfam family "Bacterial small subunit ribosomal RNA", at positions 28 to 507 of the family's 1533-position model. The record is from RNAcentral.
GACGAACGCUGGCGGCGUGCUUAACACAUGCAAGUCGAACGGAAAGGCCCCCUUUUGGGGUACUCGAGUGGCGAACGGGUGAGUAACACGUGAGUAACCUACCCUUGACUUUGGGAUAACUUCAGGAAACUGGGGCUAAUACCGGAUAGGAGCUCCUGCUGCAUGGUGGGGGUUGGAAAGUUUCGGCGGUUGGGGAUGGACUCGCGGCUUAUCAGCUUGUUGGUGAGGUAGUGGCUCACCAAGGCUUUGACGGGUAGCCGGCCUGAGAGGGUGACCGGCCACAUUGGGAAUAAAAAACGGACCAGAGUCCUACGGGGGGCAGCAGUGGGGAAUAUUGCGCAAUGGGCGGAAGCCUGAUGCAGCAACGCCGCGUGCGGGAUAACGGCCUUCGGGGUGUAAACCGCUUGUGCCUGUGACGAAGCGUGAGUGACGGUAAUGGGUAAAGAAGCAACGGCUAACUACGUG